RNAcentral lists this long non-coding RNA (2949 nucleotides) under Sus scrofa (pig). Its description in RNAcentral is "lncRNA (ENSSSCG00050026582.1)". Lineage: Eukaryota; Metazoa; Chordata; Mammalia; Artiodactyla; Suidae. The record is from RNAcentral.
AAAUCUGAAAUCAAUUGCACUGACUUUUUGGCUUUGCAAAAUAGGGAAAACAUACUUGGUUCAUUGAAUAUAGAGACUAUGAAAGAAGCUAUUCAUUGCUACUUAUUUGAUAUAAUAGGCUUUAAUGUUUAUGAAAGUAUUUUUUACUUUGAAUAACACCCAAUUAAAGUCACACAAGAAAAGGGAGUUCCCGUCGUGGCUCAGUGGUUAAUGAAUCCAACUAGGAACCAUGAGGUUUAGGGUUCAAUCCCUGGCCUUGCUCAGUGGGUUAAGGAUCCGACGUUGCUCUGAGCUGUGGUGUAGGUCAGACAUGGCUCUGAUCUGGCAUUGCUGUGGCUGUGGCAUAGGCUGGCGGCUACAGCUCUGAUUGGACCCCUAGCUUGGGAACCUCCAUAUGCUGUGGGAGUGGCCAUAGAAAAGGGGGGAAAAAAAGUUCACACAAGAAAGUCUGAAAUACUAAUUGUUGUUCUCUUUAUAUUACAACAGAAAUGUUCAUUUCUGAAUCUGUUUCUCAAAAUGUAGUCCUAAGAAACUAAUGUUUGAUUUCCUGUGAAGUUCUGUUUUAUGCCUUCAAUUGAUUUGUAUAAAUAGCUUAUUAGAAAGGCCAACUUAAAAUUGACGUUUAGAAUUUGGGCAGUGUCUUGAAUAUAUAAGUUCUCACCCCUCUGCUAGAUUUCACUUCGGUGUUAUUCAACUUGUGGUGGUGAGACAGGUAAAUACAAAUUCAAAGGGAAUUUAAGGAUAUGAUUAUUCCAGAAGCAAUUGUACUGAUAAUUAGUUGUUCCCGAGUUGUUCAAUAUGCUCUUAAUCUGUAUUUAUUCAAAAACUGUUAGCUCAGUGCCAGAAAGCUUUUAUUAUUUUACUUUUGAGUGGGAGAAGCUGAUACUGGAAAGAUGAUACUGGAGUCUGGGUUCUUGUUCAUGGCAGUUGAAGAAUGAACUCCACACACAGGAGCAAGCAAGCAAAGUCUUUAUUAAAGGAAAGCAGAUAGGAGUUCCCGUCGUGGUGCAGUGGUUAACGAAUCCGACUAGGAACCAUGAGGUUGUGGGUUCGAUCCCUGGCCUUGCUCAGUGGGUUAAGGAUCUGGCGUUGCCUUGAGCUGUGGUGUAGCUUGUAGGCGAGGCUUGGAUCCCGUGUUGCUGUGGCUCUGGUGUAGGCUGGCAGGAAGAGUUCCAAUUGGACCCCUAGCCUGGGAACCUCCAUAUGCUGCAGAAGUGGCCCUAGAAAAGGCAAAAAGACAAAAAUAAAUAAAUAAAUAAAAAUAAAGGAAAGCAGAUAGCUCCCAGAGCUGCUGGGAGAGGGGAGAAGAGCCCCCUUUCUCUAUUGUCCUAUAGGGGUUUUUAAUCUCUUAGUUGGGGGGGUACCAAUGUGGGGUCCAGAGAGAUGUGGUCUUCUCCCAUUGGCCUUACUCAGUUACCCAUAUCAGUCCUGUCCAAUAGGGUCUUAGGGGUGGAAAUGUCCAGUAAGUCUCAUAGUUUCUUUGUCCUUUUCUUCCCAUAAACUGAGUCACAGGGAGUUAGGGAUUAAUGUCCUUCUGAGCAUAGGUGCACUCCUUAUAGUAAACAAGGCCUAUGGGGAUGUUAUUCUCUGAAGCCUUUAAGCUACAAAUGUUAAUCCAUGGCCAUAUCAAAGAAUGCAUGGAUGUCCAAACUCCUACACUGACUACCUGAGAUAAUAUUCUGCUUCAAAGCGAUAAACCCUUACCCUCUAUUUUGCCAAAAUAAAAGGUUGGGAUUAAUACAUAAAGAAUUUGAAAUAGAAGUUCUGAAAUGCUGAAAAUUUGUCUCCUUUUCACAGCUUAUUCACAGUGUCUUUUGGAUGCAAGGUGUUUAUAAAAUGUACUGUAGUCAAAUUUACAUACAAACAAAAGAUUUUAAGAAAUGUGUUAUUUUAUUAUUUAAAAUGGAUAUUUGAAGGAAACUAAAUGAUUUUUCUGGAUGAAUUAUAAUUCCUCUCCACAAGGGCAUUUCAGUAGAAACAUGAGCUCUUAACAAUUAUAUUUGUUUAAAACAGGUAUGUGCUUUUUUAUGUAAUUUACACCAAAAAACUCCAAUACUUUAUUCAGUUCAGAUGCAUCUUAGGGCAUACAAGCCUACGUUUUACAAGUACAGAUUCUCACAUUCACAGAAAAAAUUAAAAACCAGCUAUACUAUUGUCAGGUAAUUACAUGGUUAUGGAUUUCAACUCAAACAAUUUCAGUAAUUUUUCAAUAAAACACCCAGUGACUUGAGUGCCUAGGUGUCCUUAUUUGCAUAAGAAAGGUUCUGACUAUUGAUAUAGCAUGGUACUCAUCUUUGUUUCCAUUGCUCCUCACUGGGACAUUUAAGACACAUCAGCCCUGCUAUACCCCUGCCACUGCAGAUGAUUUACUUCAUUCAAGAUUGCCAGAGGAAAGGCAAAGAUACUCCCAAAUUGUAAAAAACUCAACGAACAGUGGCAGGUAUGCUAAAAGUGGCAUACUGGAACAAAUCCAUGAGAGUGAAGCCCUAUUUUAUUCACUGGCAAGGUCAAGGGUGAGACCAAGAGUGUCAAAAUAUGUGUCCUUUGAACUUUACCAUUACCGUUCUGUGUGAUUUGGUGAUUGUAUUUUUCUAAUAAAAGUUCUUUGCCAUUUCUAACAUGUUCAGGACACAAAGGAAAAGAAAUGUUGUAGAGUUUAAUCAAGAUGGUAAAGGGCAGGAGUUCCCAUUGUAGCUCAUCAGUAAGGAAGGAACCCAAGUAGUAUCCAUGAGGAUGUGGGUUCAAUCCCUGGCCUCUCUUAGUGGGUUAAGGAUAAGGCAUUGCCAUGAGCUGUGGUGUAGGUCACAGACAGAGCUCAGAUCUCCCAUUGCUGUGGCUGUGGUGUAGGCCGGUAGCUGCAGUUCUGAUUCCCCUAGCCUGGGAACUUCCAUAUACCACAGGUGUGGCACUAAAAUGACCAAAAAAAAAAAAAAAAAAAAAAAAAAAAAA